This is a long non-coding RNA of Thunnus maccoyii (southern bluefin tuna), 2534 nucleotides long. RefSeq lists it as uncharacterized. NCBI's taxonomy places the organism in Eukaryota, Metazoa, Chordata, Actinopteri, Scombriformes, Scombridae. The record is from RefSeq and is a predicted model, not a curated record. The transcript has 4 exons.
AUUUUAUACAUCCAUGAGAGAGGGCCGUUCACGUUUUUUCGGGAGUUUCGCGGCCGCUGUAGCUUCUUCUACACGCUUGGAAGGGGAGGUUAUCAAUUUGGUUGCAAUCUACAACCUCACAGCUAGAUGCCACUAAAUGCUAAUUUACACACUGGUCCUUUAAGUGUUUCAAUUAGCUAAGCCAAUGAGAAAACAAGCAUGAUAGCAAGACCUUGCAAUUUGAAGAAAAACCUCUCAAAAACAAAACUGCAAAUCUGCCGUGAAAAGGGCAUUUUACUCUCGUACAUGGGCUACAGAAUUGAAACAUUCAUAGUAAAAAAUAAGAAGAAACAUAUGAAGAAACAGACAGCUGCAACAGUAACUCUCAGUAGGAUGACAAAACCAUAGAUUUUGAGGACAAGUCAGAGGAUUAAAACAGCGAGGAGGUGGGAGUAAAGUUUCACAAUUCUGGAGCUGAACUUGAGGCUAGCUAACUGUCGUUAGCUCUGCUAGCCUCCCAGGAAUCACCUGGACCGCUCAUCCAGCUAGUUUAACCAUGGCACCUGUGUGAGAAGUCAUCUUCCAAGUUUGGACUAUGGUCUAAAGAAUGACCUGUACAUUUAGGCCUAUAUGUCGGCGGUGGAUGUUUCUGCCUAGACUAAGGACGGCAAAGAAUAGCUAACAUCUAUUUUAAGGUGUGAGGACUUGUUGGACAGAGACGCUGUUGUUGCAAAGCGAUUCACAGUGUGUUCAAGGACAGAGAUCUAAGAGCUUAAAUCAGUGGACAACUCUUCCCCUUGAAAAAGUGCACACUAUCAGGACUGCUCAAAGUUACUGAUACACAGUACGCCAAGCCAGAUGGUCAGCCGCACGGUCGAAGCAUGUACCACUCGGUUUCAACACCCCUCUAACAAACCCUCCUCCCAACUCCAGAUGGCAUGCCAUGCCUGGUUCUAGUGCCACAGGGGGACUGCGACGGUAUCAGUGUGACUCAAGUCCCUCGGGGUAUGGUCUGCGUGCAUGCGUGCGUGUUUUGGGUAUAUGCAUAUGUGAGCGCAUGUGCUUGUCCCUCAGGUGCUCUUGUUUGGUUGUAUGUUUUAGAGAGUCACAACAAUCAGAUACCUGUGUCUCUUGGGUUGCUGAUUUCUCCCCUUUGGCCAAAUUUGGCUGCUGUGGUUCAAUAUGGAGCUCCUUCACUAAUAAUCCUCCCCCUCUGAGCCUCACUAUUUAAGUGAGUGAUUUCAAAGGGGAAAAGAAAACCUGUGAAAAUGCAUCCUAAAUUCCAAAAACACCUCGCAGUUAAAGUAUCAUACAGUAUAUAGUAAGCAGAGGGGCAACUUUUGCCACAUGACUUAUGAGAUUUGUUUUCAUUGUUAUAGCUGUGGAACUACGGUAUUCUUUAAACAAUCAGCAUCUGUCAGCACAGGUACAGGAAAAUUCUACAUCUCGAGAAGCAUAACUAAACUAGUUAUCACAUUUAAUCCCAAUAUUUUGAUUUAAACAACCAGUCUCUCUACAGCUACAGCUGCUUUUUAAGUUUUCCUUUCACACGCAGUACAUUUCCAGGGCCUGAGAUCCUGAGGGGCACCAAAGUCCCAAGGUUCACUGCACUCACCCAGCCAGAACAACAACAACUUUUUCAUUUAUCAUUGGUACAUAAGCUGAUUGGUCAUAUCUCUCUAUACAAGCACACUAUUACCCAGUUGAUUCCUUCAUGCCAACAUUACAGCUCCCUCCAUCACCCCAACAUCACCCUUUUUAUGUGCUGCAGCUGUUAUCAGUACCGUUGAACUGUUGACUUUGCUGAGAUACAAGUUUAAUAUUUAUAGCUACAUGUCUGAAUUCUGAACACUAUAAUUCAAGUGUUAAAUAUACUGAGAGAUGACUUCUCUCAGUAGAAAAUUCUCUAUGAUCUCAGAUUCUUUGAAAUUUGACUGCCUAGCCAUUUGCAAUAGAUGGUCAGUUCUUAACCUUAUGUAUGUGUGUGUGUGUGUGUGUGUGUGUGUUUGUGUGGUUUGUGGCAAUUUGUCUAAGUGCAUAUUUGUUUGGGAAGAAGUACCAUCAACUGAAAAAUCAACUGUAGGUGCGUCAUGUGGCCCUGUAUUUUUUUUUUUCUUUGAGGCUCUGUGUCAAACUCUAAUGAUAAGGACCCUACAAUUUCUGGUGAUGUAGCUAUCAUGAAAAUAUUUCUAAAAACAAUCUGAUUUAUUAAAAUGAGCACAAAGUAAUUCUCAGAAAGUAAUAGUAGAGCACAGUUCAGCACAGAUUCUGGGGUAAAAUAUAAUUCGCUGUGGCUCAGUACAUUUUUGUCCCUUGUCAUCAAAGUGUUUAAUUUGGUGCUGUGUCAUGCACAUGAUGUUUAGCUUUACAUGAGAAAGAAGUGCACCAAAAAAAGCUGCAUUGCCUCAGUGUUUGUGUUUAUUGUUGAAAAGACCAGGGGCUGCUCUCGCCUGCUGCUGUGUGUAUACUUCUGCUUCACCCAUGUCCAAGGGCUUUGAAAAUCAGUGAAAGGGGAAACCAGAGAAAGGACUUAGCCUCUGAUCUGGGGAAUAUUU